UACAGAGGGGGCAAGCGUUGUUCGGAAUUACUGGGCGUAAAGCGUGCGCAGGCGGUUUUGUAAGUCUGUCGUGAAAUCCCCGGGCUCAACCUGGGAAUUGCGAUGGAGACUGCAAGGCUAGAAUCUGGCAGAGGGGGGUAGAAUUCCACGUGUAGCAGUGAAAUGCGUAGAGAUGUGGAGGAACACCGAUGGCGAAGGCAGCCCCCUGGGUCAAGAUUGACGCUCAUGCACGAAAGCGUGGGGAGCAAACAGG
Molecule: ribosomal RNA, 253 nt
Filed under: uncultured bacterium
Lineage: Bacteria
Description: partial 16S ribosomal RNA
Rfam family: Bacterial small subunit ribosomal RNA
Source: RNAcentral